UCCGGAGGGUGCGAGCGUUAAUCGGAAUGACUGGGCGUAAAGCGCGCGCAGGCGGCGUGAUAAGCCGGUUGUGAAAGCCCCGGGCUCAACCUGGGAACGGCAUCGGGAACUGUCAGGCUAGAGGGCAGGAGAGGAAGGUAGAAUUCCCGGUGUAGCGGGGAAAUGCGUAGAGAUCGGGAGGAAUACCAGUGGCGAAGGCGGCCUUCUGGACUGACACUGACGCUGAGGUGCGAAAGCGUGGGUAGCAAACAGG
This 253-nucleotide unclassified non-coding RNA is filed under the name uncultured Halomonadaceae bacterium. Its description in RNAcentral is "contains 16S-23S intergenic spacer region". It matches the Rfam family "Bacterial small subunit ribosomal RNA", at positions 524 to 776 of the family's 1533-position model. The record is from RNAcentral. Lineage: Bacteria; Pseudomonadati; Pseudomonadota; Gammaproteobacteria; Oceanospirillales; Halomonadaceae.